Molecule: ribosomal RNA, 386 nt
Filed under: Malassezia restricta
Lineage: Eukaryota; Fungi; Basidiomycota; Malasseziomycetes; Malasseziales; Malasseziaceae
Description: partial small subunit ribosomal RNA
Rfam family: Eukaryotic small subunit ribosomal RNA
Source: RNAcentral
GCUUGUCUCAAAGAUUAAGCCAUGCAUGUCUAAGUAUAAAUAGUAUACAGUGAAACUGCGAAUGGCUCAUUAAAACAGUUAUAGUUUAUUUGAUAAUUGAAAAUUACAUGGAUAACCGUGGUAAUUCUAGAGCUAAUACAUGCUAUCAAGCCCGACUUCUGGAAGGGGUGUAUUUAUUAGAUAAAAAUCAACUUUGUUGGUGAAUCAUAAUAACUUCUCGGACCGCAUGGCCUCGUGCUGGCGGUGCUUCAUUCAAAUAUCUGCCCUAUCAACUGUCGAUGGUAGGAUAGAGGCCUACCAUGGUUGCAACGGGUAACGGGGAAUAAGGGUUCGAUUCCGGAGAGGGAGCCUGAGAAACGGCUACCACAUCCAAGGAAGGCAGCAGG